Non-coding RNA from Rattus norvegicus (Norway rat), 69 nucleotides. NCBI's taxonomy places the organism in Eukaryota, Metazoa, Chordata, Mammalia, Rodentia, Muridae. The record is from Rfam.
GGGGAUUUAGCUCAGUGGUAGAGCGCUUGCCUAGCAAGCACAAGGUCCUGGGUUAGGUUCCCAGCUCCA